Salmo salar (Atlantic salmon) is the source of this 4943-nucleotide non-coding RNA. The record is from RefSeq and is a predicted model, not a curated record. Lineage: Eukaryota; Metazoa; Chordata; Actinopteri; Salmoniformes; Salmonidae.
GUUGUUGUGGAAUUGUUAGAUUACUUGUUAGAUAUUGCGCACUGUCAGAACUAGAAGCACAAGCAUUUCGCUACACUCAAUAACAUCUGCUAACCAUGUGUAUGUGGCCAAUAAAAUGUGAUUUGAUUUGAAUAUGGCCUGGUCAGGGGUAAGCAAUAUGUCCCGCGCCGCCGACUCAUUGAAAUAGAAAUCUUAAUCAAAAUCAAGGUUAGUAAUCGCUGUUCUGAUGUCCAGAAAACUAUUUUCGAUCAUAGGAAAUAAUGGCGGAAACAUUAUGUACUAAAAAAGGUAAAACGGCAGCUGUUCAAUCCAGUAUGGCUGUGAUGGAUUUGUUUUUGUACACCACUGUUCGGUCCGCACCGUGAACCCGAAUGAAUACAUAAAAAAAACAUUAUUAUAAAAUAAAUGUUUACAUUAGGCCUAAUGGCUUCACAGUCGUUUACAAGUGCGAUGGACAGAGAUUGUGGAUAAAAAGUUAAUAGUAUGUUCGCCACUGCUCAACUACAAUAGCCUAUGCAGAGUGGCGGAUGUAGCUGGUGUUGGCCAAUCACAAGUCAUCAAAGUGCCACUACAGUCAUAGAGCCUCCUUGUGUUGGUCAACAAAUUAGAUUAUCUAAUCAAUGGAAAAUGGAAUUAAAAGUUAAAUGAGAAGUAUAUGCGACAACGAACAAGACCCAACAGGUAGGCUGCUAUUUAAUCAUUUGAAUGGAGGUGUUGUUAUUUGUUACUGAUGGACAGGAAAAAAGCGCAUGCAGACUCAAUUAGCCCAGCUAGCUAACUUAGCUAUUUUAGCCAACUAGCUUCUCUCGGUUUGAUGCAGUCAAGACAGGUACUUGGUAGGUAGUCUUGUGGUUAGGACAUUGGUCCAGUAACCAAAAGGUUUCUGGGUCGAAUCCCUGUGCUGACAAGGUAAAAAUCUGUUGUUUUGCCCCUGAACAAGGCAGUUAACCCACUGUUCCCCGGUAGGCCGUCAUUGUAAAUUAGAAUUUGUUCAUAACUGACUUGCCUAGUUAAAUAAAAAAUAAUAUUGGAUGAUAAAUAACCUAGCUAUGACAAGCUAGAAGUUCAUAUACUAGCGCAAGUCAGCUCAGUUGGUUGAUGCCUCUCCCUUGCUCCAGUUUCAAUCGUACUCACAGUAUACACACCUCACAGUACAACACCUUAAGGCCCCUGCUCUCCCUUGCACUGUAUCAGCUCUAGUUAAUAAACUAGCUUACAAAUUGACUUUUCUGCUGCUUCCCUCACUCAGAUCUGACCACGUCUAUACGGAACUGGUCAUCCUCGGGUCCGUUCGGAAUGGGUCUCUGUAUUUAUGCAUAUUUGUCCGGGUGUGAAAGCCCCAGAUUCAUUUCGGAGCAGGUCAAAUUUUUUAGACCUCUACUUGUCAAAACAGACAAUGCCAGGAACAUUGUGAAUGAUGUCACAAAACUGGAGUUGGGCCACAAAUAGGGUGCUUUUUAAUUUAGCGUAUUUUGCCAAAUAAAUCAAAAUGAACUACAGUAACUGUUAGAAUUCAAUUUUUCCGCUGUAUCAUAACCGUACCGUGACCCCAAAACCGCAAUACGUACCGAACAGUGGAUUUGGUGAACCGUUACAUCCCUGUAAAUGAAUGAAUGAAUGAAUCACAGACCAGCCUAAAUGUAGAGCUGCUCUCUUUCAUGGUCCUUUGUUUUACCGGAUUUGGGACUUUCUGCGACCACUAUGGCAGCUUACAGAGAGUUCGCAGGGGACUUGACAUCCAGACCUCCGCCCUUGGAUUACUCCCCCCUUUUCUUCACCGGCAUGUGGAGUAAAGGCAGCUUCUGGUUGUGGGGAGGACUUGGAGUUUGACUCACGGCUUUGCCAGGAUUUUAUGAAGUCCUUUUGCCUGUUUAGGCAUCAACGGUGUGAACUUAAAGCCUCAUCCAGUCGGGGGAACCCAUCCCUCACAGCUGAGAGAGUGGCAGGACAGGUGACUGGGGAUCCUGAGCAGGGAUGUACCACCACCUCGGCCCCAGCAACGCUACAGGGGAUGUCUGUGACAGGGACUGGGCCUGCGCCUACUGGACUAGUGGUGUCAGCCUUCAGAAGUCACGCAGCAUCAACUCAUCACCCCCUGCACACCUCUUCUCUGUACCAACAGUCCACUCUGUUGGCCCAGCCAGCUGUACCCCAGCUUGGUCCUCAGCCUGCGGGACCUGAGUUCCAGCCUGCAGCCCGCUCGGUCACCAUCUCAUUAACCCGUGCAUCAGCCAUCAGCCCGUGCACCGGUCCAGGAAGGAGCCCUGCCCCCACCAAUCCAGUCUGCGGUGCUCCAGUGGAUGCUGCAGCCUUCAUCACUGCCUACACAAGGGCCUCAGGCACCCCAACUGUGCCAACGCCAGCACUCCACAAGUGAGAUUUCUGGAUGUUAAGCCUGUGAUGGAGAACCCUCCAGACCCAGGAGUGGACCACCAUCCUGCCCCGGUAGGAGAGCCUCCGCCAUGCCUACCCUACUCCUCUACCUCCAACCUUGGGACACUAUCAGGCUCUGUUGGGGAACCUACCCCAACACCCUACUGGACAUAGUGGACUAGCCCUGCUUUAGGGUGCCUAGACACAGUUUGUCCCCUGGCCACUCCUUACUUGCCACUGACAGAGGGCGACAUGGGGGUGGCGGAACAUAGCUGGUCGAGGAGGGCUCCCGGCUGACAUUGUUGACACUCAGGCAAGUGAAAUCCUUCUUCUCUAAGACCCAGAAAGUAAAUCAUUAUUAUACUGACUGAUCUCUAGCUCAAUGGAAAGGGUUCUCCAUAACAGAUCUAAGUUGCCUUUGCCAUGUAGAGGAAAAACACACCUCAGAACCUAAAAAGGUCGGAGAGGGUUUCACAGUGAUCCCUGGAACCAUGUUCUCCCGUAGGACAGGGAUGAAAAUAUGGUUAGGGUUCCCCUGCCUUGUUGUCCAGAGCAGUGGUUUUCAACCGGUGUGCCUUGAGGAACUCUCAGGUGUGCCCCGAAACAUUUCCUGAUCUUGAAAAAAAACAACACUCCCUUAUAAACGUGACCUGUGGAAUGCAAAUGGAAUUUUGACUUGAGGGCAACACAGUGCUGCUCAGAUAAUAUAUUGAAUGGCACAUAGUUACAUCUAUAUCGUUGUUUCAAGUCCAGUGCGGUCAGGCUGUUGUUAUAUUUGAAUCACUCAUGAGCAAAGUCAUUUAUAAUUUUACUUCGCCUGUGAGAACCAUUAGCACAGGCAAGUCUGAUUAUUAAUCUUAGCUCUACUAGAGCCUCUGCCAUAGAAACAGGCAAGUCUGAUUAUUAGUCUUAGCUCUACCAGAGCCUCUGCCGUAGAAACAAACGGAGCAUGGCUUUGUGUCGGUGGUUUCACCUUUACAAUGCAGAAAACCACUUGUCUCUAGCUCAAACCAUUCGAAACUAAAGACCUAUUUUACCGGAGCUUUAUUUCUUCUUAAAGGGGUACACACAAAUUAAUCAUCAUGAGUAAGGAACUAUGCAAACUAUGAAAAUAGUUCAAAUAAACCCUAUUUAAUCUCUAAUUAUGGGUAUGGGUAAAUACUCCAUGUUGAAAGUGUGUUUAUUAUCUGUGUGUACGUACCUGAGGGAGUGUCUGUCUGUGUAAUCUGUAUCACCUCUCUCUUCCAGGAGGAGGAGGGUCCAGAGGUGCUGCUGGUGAAGGAUGAGGGGUGUGAGGAGGGUCUGGGGAACCCUGAGGAGACCAUGGUCAUGGAGGACAACCAGACUACACCUCCUCCUGAACCCACAGUGGAACCAGCUGAGGAGCACAGGUCUACACACAGUCUCACUGAGAUGAGCCCACUGUGAAUGGCAUUAGUCAGUAGACAUGGAGGAUGGGAAGCCUGAUCUGCUGCUGGUCAAAGAGGAGACAAUAGAAGAUGGACCAAAGAGCAUUGACCUGCUGAGUGGACUAAAGAUGGGGGAGCAUCUUAGCCUCCCUCCAAACAUCUGCAGGAAGAGGUUUUAACCCCGUAACAGUUGCUGCCUUCAGCCUGCCUUCUACAGGAUCUAUCAACUGGAAGAUGGACCCUGCGACAACACAGACACUCCCUGGCCUUCGUCCUCCUCACACUCUCCUAAUGUUAAACCAGACCUCAGACAAUAUCAGUGCCUGAACACUGAGUGGCUACACAAGCCCAUUGACAAAUAACGAUAGUAGAGACAGAAUCAAUAAAGGCGGCAGCACCAAAGAGAAGCGCUUCACGUGUUCGUUCUGUGGGAAAGCCUUCAGUUUCCUCAAACUGUUGGAGAUCCACAAGAGGAUGCACACGGGGGAGAAAUUGAUUGGGUACCACUUGUGCCAGUUCAGUUUCUCCCACUUGUCCCCCCUGAAGAGGUACCAGUGGGUCCACACAGGGGAAAUCUUACAGCUGGUCCCAGUGUGAGAAGAGGUUCAGCACCAGCUGACGAUGCCCCCGAAGGUCCACAUGGGAGAGAGGCCGUUCGCCUGUAUGCACUGCGGGAAGAGGUUCUCACAGAGGAGCUACCUCAGGAUACACCAGCAGAAAAUGCACACGGCCCAUGUAUAGAGUAUAGUGAUGUAAUGUAGUACUAGUUAGUUUGUAGUUAAUUCUGUUGGUUUAGGAUGUAGUAGGGAACUGGAUGAGGUGAACUGAGGAAAGAAUGAGUAUGAUGAGGCAGAGUAGAUAAAUUGAUGGUUUGUGUGAUGGAGUCUGUAAAAAUGCUUAACUUAUGAAAAGUGACAACCUUGUCCAUUUAGGUUGAUACUGGUGUUUUAUAGUAAGAUAAUGAUAGUGCCUUAAUGUUUACUUGACAAGAAGUAGUGAAGCUGUGUGUAAUGUUAAACCUUUUCCAAAGUUUUCUAAAAAUAAUUUUAUCAAUGCGAGGAUACCAGAUUUACAGAGAAGGUAAAGUGUUACCAUAAUGAGAAAAGUUAUUCUUCUUGUCACAUAUAAUUUUGUGCAAUAAAAGUACUGUACUUCAAAGUC